GCCUGAGUGGCCCAGCGGUUUAGCGCCUCCCUUCGGCCCAGGCUGUGACCCUGGAGACCCGGGAUCGAGUCCCGCCUCUGGCU
Molecule: transfer RNA, 83 nt
Filed under: Canis lupus familiaris (dog)
Lineage: Eukaryota; Metazoa; Chordata; Mammalia; Carnivora; Canidae
Also listed under: 1 other name
Rfam family: tRNA
About the family: Transfer RNA (tRNA) molecules are approximately 80 nucleotides in length. Their secondary structure includes four short double-helical elements and three loops (D, anti-codon, and T loops).
Source: Rfam by way of RNAcentral